RNAcentral lists this small nuclear RNA (106 nucleotides) under Castor canadensis (American beaver). Lineage: Eukaryota; Metazoa; Chordata; Mammalia; Rodentia; Castoridae. The record is from RNAcentral.
GUGCUUGCUUCAGCAGCACAUAUACUAAAAUUGGAAUAUUCAGAAAAGAUUGGCAUGGACCUUGCUCAAAAAUAACACUCAAAUUUGUGAAGCAUUCCAUAAAAAA